This 407-nucleotide ribosomal RNA is filed under the name uncultured bacterium. Its description in RNAcentral is "partial 16S ribosomal RNA". It matches the Rfam family "Bacterial small subunit ribosomal RNA", at positions 30 to 526 of the family's 1533-position model. The record is from RNAcentral.
AUUGAACGCUGGCGGCAGGCCUAACACAUGCAAGUCGAGCGGAGCGGCGGACGGGCGAGUAAUGCCUAGGACUCUGCCUGGUAGUUGGGGAUAACGUCCGGCAACGGGCGCUAAUACCGCCUACACUCCGAUGCGCAUAGCCAGGAUUAGCUAGUUGGUGGGGUAAAGGCCUAACAAGGCGACGAUCCGUAACUGGUUUGAGAGGAUGAUCAGUCACACAGUAACGGAGACACGGUCCAGACUCCUACGGGAGGCAGCAGGGGGGAAUAUUGGACAAUGGGCGAAAGCCUGAUCCAGCCAUGCCGCGUGUGUGAAGAAGGUCUUCGGAUUGUAAAGCACUUUAAGUUGGGAGGCGUUACCAACAGAAUAAGCACCGGCUAACUUCGUGCCAGCCGCCGCGGUAAUAC